RNAcentral lists this ribosomal RNA (1099 nucleotides) under Eucera alticincta. RNAcentral describes it as "eukaryotic LSU rRNA". It matches the Rfam family "Eukaryotic large subunit ribosomal RNA", at positions 416 to 1224 of the family's 3401-position model. The record is from RNAcentral. Lineage: Eukaryota; Metazoa; Arthropoda; Insecta; Hymenoptera; Apidae.
UAAACCUGAGAAACCCAAAAGAUCGAAUGGGGAGAUUCAUCGUCAACAUCGCUGGCUCCCGUUGGUGCGCGAUGCCCCGAAUGGGCCCUUGUGGUUCCACGGCGAGGGCACGCCACCUUCGGCUUGAAUGUUCCGGUGGCGUAGUCGUGCACUUCUCCCCUAGUAGAACGUCGCGACCCGUUGUGUGUCGGUCUACGGCCCGAGAGGGCGCCUGUCGCGUCGCCUUGCGCGCACUCGUCAGACCCUCGGUCGCCCGGCCGGCUACACGACGGAACUCGCACGGUAUCGGGCCGCAACCAAUCCAUUCUCGAAUGGCGUUUGCGUCAGGUCCGCCGCAAGCUCGGUUAGUUCUUACCCGGUGGUACGGACCUCGCGCCGUCCCCGGGCCUAACCAGCUGUUAGCCAGGCGGUGUCCUCGGACUGGCCAAGCUUCGAAUUACCGGUCGGCGACGCUAUUGCUUUGGGUACUCUCAGGACCCGUCUUGAAACACGGACCAAGGAGUCUAACAUGUGCGCGAGUCAUUGGGAUGCACAAACCUAAAGGCGAAAUGAAAGUGAAGGUCGUCCUUAGCGUCGACCGAGGGAGGAUGGGCCGCGUAACCCAGGCGGCCUCGCACUCCCGGGGCGUCUCGUUCUCAUCGCGAGAAGAGGCGCACCCAGAGCGUACACGUUGGGACCCGAAAGAUGGUGAACUAUGCCUGGUCAGGACGAAGUCAGGGGAAACCCUGAUGGAGGUCCGUAGCGAUUCUGACGUGCAAAUCGAUCGUCGGAACUGGGUAUAGGGGCGAAAGACUAAUCGAACCAUCUAGUAGCUGGUUCCCUCCGAAGUUUCCCUCAGGAUAGCUGGCACUCGUUUGAACGCGUGCGAGUCUCAUCUGGUAAAGCGAAUGAUUAGAGGCCUUGGGGCCGAAACGACCUCAACCUAUUCUCAAACUUUAAAUGGGUGAGAUCUCUGGCUUGCUUGAACAGUGAAGCCAUGAGAUUUUGGAUCAGAGUGCCAAGUGGGCCAAUUUUGGUAAGCAGAACUGGCGCUGUGGGAUGAACCAAACGCAGAGUUAAGGCGCCUAAGUCGACGCUUAUGGGAUACCAUGAAAGGCGU